UACGUAGGGGGCAAGCGUUGUCCGGAUUUAUUGGGCGUAAAGAGCGUGUAGGCGGCCAAGCAGGUCCGCUGUGAAAACUCGAGGCUCAACCUCGAGACGUCGGUGGAAACCGUUUGGCUAGAGUCCGGAAGAGGAGAGUGGAAUUCCUGGUGUAGCGGUGAGAUGCGCAGAUAUCAGGAGGAACACCAAUUGCGAAGGCAGCUCGCUGGGACGUAACUGACGCUGAGACGCGAAAGCGUGGGGAGCAAACAGG
Molecule: ribosomal RNA, 253 nt
Filed under: uncultured bacterium
Lineage: Bacteria
Description: partial 16S ribosomal RNA
Rfam family: Bacterial small subunit ribosomal RNA
Source: RNAcentral